UACGUAGGGUGCGAGCGUUAAUCGGAAUUACUGGGCGUAAAGAGUGCGCAGGCGGCCGCGCAAGUCGAGUGUGAAAGCCCCGAGCUUAACUUGGGAAUUGCGCUCGAAACUACGUGGCUGGAGUGUGGCAGAGGAAGGUGGAAUUCCAGGUGUAGCGGUGAAAUGCGUAGAGAUCUGGAGGAACACCGAUGGCGAAGGCAGCCUUCUGGGCCAACACUGACGCUCAUGCACGAAAGCGUGGGGAGCAAACAGG
Molecule: ribosomal RNA, 253 nt
Filed under: uncultured bacterium
Lineage: Bacteria
Description: partial 16S ribosomal RNA
Rfam family: Bacterial small subunit ribosomal RNA
Source: RNAcentral